AGGAUGAACGCUGGCGGCGUGCCUAAUACAUGCAAGUCGAGCGGCAGCGCGGUCUUCGGACUGGCGGCGAGCGGCGGACGGCUGAGUAACACGUAGGAACGUACCCCAAAGUGAGGGAUAAGCACCAGAAAUGGUGUCUAAUACCGCAUGUGCUCUAAGGAGUAAAGCUUCGGCGCUUUGGGAACGGCCUGCGCAUGAUUAGCUUGUUGGUGAGGUAAUGGCUCACCAAGGCGACGAUCAUUAGCUGGUCUGAGAGGAUGAUCAGCCAGACUGGGACUGAGAACGGCCCAGACUCCUACGGGAGGCAGCAGUAGGGAAUUUUCCACAAUGGGCGAAAGCCUGAUGGAGCAACGCCGCGUGCAGGAUGAAGGCUUUCGGGUCGUAAACUGCUUUUAUAUGUGAAGAAUAUGACGGUAGCAUAUGAAUAAGGAUCGGCUAACUCCGUGCCAGCAGCCGCGGUAA
RNAcentral lists this ribosomal RNA (462 nucleotides) under uncultured bacterium. Its description in RNAcentral is "SSU rRNA". It matches the Rfam family "Bacterial small subunit ribosomal RNA", at positions 26 to 523 of the family's 1533-position model. The record is from RNAcentral.